GGAAGCGAGUUGUUAUCUUUGGUUAUCUAGCUGUAUGAGUAUUUUGCACUUCAUAAAGCUAGAUAACCGAAAGUAAAAACUGCCUCC
MicroRNA precursor from Danio rerio (zebrafish), 87 nucleotides. Ensembl annotates it as microRNA 9-5. Its record names the gene mir9-5. NCBI's taxonomy places the organism in Eukaryota, Metazoa, Chordata, Actinopteri, Cypriniformes, Danionidae. The record is from Ensembl.